This is a long non-coding RNA of Thunnus maccoyii (southern bluefin tuna), 833 nucleotides long. RefSeq lists it as uncharacterized. The record is from RefSeq and is a predicted model, not a curated record. NCBI's taxonomy places the organism in Eukaryota, Metazoa, Chordata, Actinopteri, Scombriformes, Scombridae. The transcript is spliced from 3 exons.
CUACACACAGCAAUGACCCACUUUUUUCCAAACAUAACUUUAAAGGCACAAUCUCUGAUCUAAAUAUUAAAAGGAGAAGGACACCACUAACAAUCAAAAUUUGAAGCUGCCAUCACUCUCAAACUGAUCAACAGGUUCUUUACUGUAAACAGCAGCAGCAGGACGAAACUGGUUCAGCUGCCCGUUUAUCAGCCGCUCUGAAGGUUGUAGAAACGUUAAAUGAACCUGCAGGGAGUCCAGAGAGGAGCUGCAGCACAGAGCAGAGGGGAUGAUGACUGUUCCUGCAGUGUUUCAGUGCUGAAAUGGGAUGCAGUGAGUCCAGAUGCUGGUUGUGGUCCUGUUCGGACAAACCUGAACAGCAGACUGUCGUCGACAAACAAGGAGAAGAUGAGACGGAGGCCUUUCUCGAGGACGUGAAGGAGGCUAAAAGCUUUAUUUCAGAGGAGACACCGGCUGAUGGAGGCUGGUUGGACCUUCCAUCAGUCAGAAAACCAAUACUGGAUUUUGCCCAGAAGAUGUCGGAGGAUAUCGUUGCUCAGGCUCUGCAGCUCUGCUGGGAAGUGGAGAUACGUUACAAGGAGCUGCCUUUCAUUGACAGUGACCAUGAUUACAUUAUAUGAGCUCAAGUCUUCUACUUGAAGGGAAUUUUUUGACUGAACUGUUAACUUAAAAGGCAAAAAUGUCACAUCCUGCCUUUAAUGCCGGAGGAAUGUAGUUCCUCUUCACAGAGUCUCUGUCCUCAAGUUUUUUUUGUUUGUUUGUUUUUUGGAGUUUGUGCUCAUUUCACAACACAUGUAAGUCUGUUGCAACCAGGAAGUGUAUUUUGCAAUAAA